CAUUGGUGUAUUCAGAAUCAACCAGGUAAUAGCAACCUUGACAUAUAAAAUGAAAAAGCAUUACAUAUUGUAAUUAUAAGGCAAGAAAAUUAAAAUGAGCUUCAUUUAUAUAUUUGUGUUCAUCAAUAUAUAUACAUACUUUGAGGCACUCUGAAACCAUUUGGCCUACUCAUAGCAUCUCGAAGCACACGGGCAUCAUGUGCAGAAUCCUCCCAAUCAGACAGCACAUAUAUAAAUUGCAUGUCAGGCGAACAAAUGUCUAAGACAUUAGUUGCAAUAUCACUUUUUCUUGUUCGAUCCUUGAUUUAUCCUCGACAGAAACGAUCACUCUAAUGAAUGUACCAUCUAAUGCUCCUAAGCAAUUCUAAAACACUAAAAAAAAUUUACAAAAAUAUCUAAGUAAUAAGAAAAUAGAAUAAGGUGUAUUAUCAUAUACCUUGAAAUAUAUUCAUGCAUCAUUUGUGUAGUCUUCUGUAAUAAGCUAAGAGAUUUUGAACAAAACUCUAUGUAAUUUCAAUAUAGCUUUAACACAUAAGUGAAACUGUCGACUCAUGGUUUCUCUGCUUCUAUCAAACUAAUUUUGAAUUGUCCUAUUUUUCUGAUGGUGGGCUACUGUAUAAAGAAACAUAGCAACAAUUUCUUACAAGGAUAUGUUUCGAAAAUCUCUCAAUCCCCCAAUAUUUCUAAGCAUCUCACAGAGUUUACUAAAUAUUCUUCUAUCCAUUCGGAGUUGACUCACACAUAUUCUGUCAUUCUCAUUAAUAAGCUUAUUUAGGUUUUUAAUUCUUAACAAUUUUCUCUCUUUUUUUUUGCUAUCAACUGACACCUCCUAAGAUAGAUCAAUCUCGUGAAAUACCAAGUCAUAUAUACCACAAACAUCAUACACAUAAUGCUAAUGUAAUGCAUUCUUCUCCUUCUCAAAUUCAUAGGGCGACGAGCCAUUUUCUGUAUACACAGUUAUCCAUAGUAUUAUUUUUUAGCAAAAAUAUUGAUAACCAAUAAAAUAAAAUUGAUAAAUAAGAGUCCAAUGCUUUAUUAUAAAAUGAAAAAGCACCUAGUUAUAAGAUAUAGAUAUAAGUAAUGAAAGUAACAUGUGUACAUCAGAAGGAACAAAGAAGUAGAAAGGCAAACUAGUAUAGCAUAACAUAGAAGGAAUAACAUAAUUAUGAUGGCACAGCAAUAACAAAGAAUAUUCCGGCUGCCCUGCCAGCAGGAAGAAAAAAAAUGGGACUCGUAUAUAUAUAUAUUUUUAUUUUUUUUUAUCCCAAGAUUUAGGCUUGAGGGAUGUUGGCUUUAUAUGGGCCAUGCACAAGUCGGCUGCCCCAUCUGUGAAUGCAAUAAAAAACCCAUCCCAAUCCUAUUGGAUUACCCAAAUAGGUCCUAAUGCUCCAUCUACCAGUCCCUUUUUCUAGGAAAAAUCUACCAACCCUAUCUUUAAUACACAAAAUCUUGUUUAGAGGCCCCC
This 1465-nucleotide long non-coding RNA is filed under the name Elaeis guineensis (African oil palm). RNAcentral describes it as "long non-coding RNA (EGUI_LNC073622)". The record is from RNAcentral. Lineage: Eukaryota; Viridiplantae; Streptophyta; Magnoliopsida; Arecales; Arecaceae.